AUUUGUGACAAAUUUUAGAAGUUUACAUGCGGACAACUAUGGUGGCAGAUAAAUGCCAUUUUGCGUUUUAAAUAGCGCUUUAGCGUUUUAGCGCUGUAGCGUUUUCCCCUUACAUAUCCUAUAGAGCGAAAAUGCGAAAACGCGAAACCGAUUUCUCGAUUUCGACUUCGCGUUUUCGCAUUUUUGACGUCGCGAUUGCGCCUUUUCGCGAUUUCGCGUUUUCGCCCUAUAGAAUAUGAAAGGCGAAAUCGCGAAAUGGAC
RNAcentral lists this long non-coding RNA (261 nucleotides) under Mytilus galloprovincialis (Mediterranean mussel). Lineage: Eukaryota; Metazoa; Mollusca; Bivalvia; Mytilida; Mytilidae. The record is from RNAcentral.